Molecule: transfer RNA, 63 nt
Filed under: Ixodes tasmani (Tasmanian possum tick)
Lineage: Eukaryota; Metazoa; Arthropoda; Arachnida; Ixodida; Ixodidae
Description: tRNA-Pro
Source: RNAcentral
CAGAAAAUAGUAUAUAAUUUUAGUAUAUAAAUUUUGGAUAUUUAUGGAGAAAAUCUUUUCUGA